This is a long non-coding RNA of Ostrea edulis (European flat oyster), 919 nucleotides long. RefSeq lists it as uncharacterized. The record is from RefSeq and is a predicted model, not a curated record. Lineage: Eukaryota; Metazoa; Mollusca; Bivalvia; Ostreida; Ostreidae. The transcript has 2 exons.
CUUUGUAACUGUAGUUAUUGUAAACUGCUAUUUAUUAUUAUUUAUUUUAUUAUUAUCAUUAUUAUAUUUUUCCUUAUUAUUCUUAGUUAUAUACAAUUUCUUACUGCUGUGGUUUAAAUUUAGUGAAAGGCUUUUGUUUGAUUCUUAACUUCUGAAAUUGUCUAUUUAUAUAGUAUGUGUGUAAAUAUGUAUAUGUGUCUCUUCAUGCUUACCUUUGUGAUAUUUUGUAUUUUAUUUUGUCUGUGAUUUAAGAGCUCUGUAUAUGCAUUUUAUUCAUUUCAGAUUGUCAUCGUAUUCGUGUUGUGUUCUUGUGUACGUGGUGUCACGUGAUUGUUUUGUGAAUAUGGUUUUGCUGAGUUAGAUAUUUGUAGAAUCUAUACCUGAACAUGAAUUAGCGAAGUUGAAAGUCCACUUGCUAUGAAUUCACAGCAAUAUUGACUCCAAAUGGAACAAUGAUUUUGCGAAGAUCAUCAACAAUAGGCUUUUGAUCCUGGUCUUCAGAUGCUUGUACUACAUUCAACAUGUCAGCCUGAUUUUCCCCCAAAUCUAAAGGCUGGUCCAUCUCCAAUUUAAUGUCCACUAACUCAUCCAAAUCACCUGUAACCGAGAUUGUGCUACUGUCCGAGUCAGAUUGACCAUCAACAUCAAUUGACCUCCUAGACGGAAGAAUUGUUUGUUCCUUACUCUUUCUCCUCUGACGUUCUGGACUUCGCCUGUACGGUUUUGUGCGUAUUUUUGCAAAUUCCUCCACACUUAACCACCGUAUUCCAUCAGCAGUUAGGAGUUUCCCAUGCCUGGUUUUUAAGUGUCUUUUGUAUGUAUUUCUUGUUUUGAAUCUUUGUGGGCAAUCUGUGCACACAAAUGGUGUUUCUCCAGUGUGUCUCCUCAAAUGCUCCUAUAUAAAAAAUAAUAAUGAUCA